Molecule: ribosomal RNA, 499 nt
Filed under: uncultured bacterium
Lineage: Bacteria
Description: bacterial SSU rRNA
Rfam family: Bacterial small subunit ribosomal RNA
Source: RNAcentral
GAUGAACGCUAGCGGCAGGCCUAACACAUGCAAGUCGAGGGGGAAGUUACUUUCGGGUGACUGAGACCGGCGUACGGGUGCGUAACGCGUAUACAAUCUGCCUUUCACUGGGGGAUAGCCCGAAGAAAUUUGGAUUAAUACCCCAUAGUAUAGUAGUGUGGCAUCACACGACUAUUAAAGCUACGGUGGUGAAAGAUGAGUAUGCGUUCUAUUAGCUAGUUGGAGAGGUAACGGCUCCCCAAGGCGAUGAUAGAUAGGGGUUCUGAGAGGGAUGUCCCCCACACUGGUACUGAGAUACGGACCAGACUCCUACGGGAGGCAGCAGUGAGGAAUAUUGGACAAUGGUCGGAAGACUGAUCCAGCCAUGCCGCGUGCAGGAUGACGGCCUUAUGGGUUGUAAACUGCUUUUGUAAGGGAAGAAUAAGGACUACGUGUAGUUUGAUGACGGUACCUUAUGAAUAAGCAUCGGCUAACUCCGUGCCAGCCGCCGCCGUAACAC